This 369-nucleotide ribosomal RNA is filed under the name Corynebacterium striatum. RNAcentral's name for it is "bacterial SSU rRNA". It matches the Rfam family "Bacterial small subunit ribosomal RNA", at positions 1 to 368 of the family's 1533-position model. Lineage: Bacteria; Bacillati; Actinomycetota; Actinomycetes; Mycobacteriales; Corynebacteriaceae. The record is from RNAcentral.
UUUGUGGAGAGUUUGAUCCUGGCUCAGGACGAACGCUGGCGGCGUGCUUAACACAUGCAAGUCGAACGGAAAGGCCUGCAGCUUGCUGCGGGUACUCGAGUGGCGAACGGGUGAGUAACACGUGGGUGAUCUGCCUUGCACUUCGGGAUAAGCUUGGGAAACUGGGUCUAAUACCGGAUAGGACAGCUGUUUAGUGUCAGUUGUGGAAAGUUUUUUCGGUGCAAGAUGAGCUCGCGGCCUAUCAGCUUGUUGGUGGGGUAAUGGCCUACCAAGGCGUCGACGGGUAGCCGGCCUGAGAGGGUGUACGGCCACAUUGGGACUGAGAUACGGCCCAGACUCCUACGGGAGGCAGCAGUGGGGAAUAUUGCA